This is a long non-coding RNA of Cavia porcellus (domestic guinea pig), 2697 nucleotides long. RefSeq lists it as uncharacterized. The record is from RefSeq and is a predicted model, not a curated record. The transcript is spliced from 5 exons. Lineage: Eukaryota; Metazoa; Chordata; Mammalia; Rodentia; Caviidae.
ACCAAGCAGUCACUCCCCGGCAGGGCCCACUGGCCGCCUGCAGAGAGGCCUGUUCUGCCUGCUCCCCUGAGCCGCCGCUGGAAAGCACCACCAAAUUCCCUGCGAAUUCUGCAACCAAUGAGCUGAACCAGGUCACUAGGUGAAGGGGGAGGAGAGGGCAGAGAUUUCCUGGUCGCUGGGAUGCAGUAGCCACCAGUCCCCUAAGUUAGCGGGGCACCAAGUCCUGGUGAGGACAGCCCGGUGUGGGGACACACGCCUAGAACCCAGCACUGCGGAGGCUGAGGCAGGGUGCUCGCUGUGAGUACUGCACGAGAAGAGAUGAGACCCUGUGAGGACUGGGUCUAGUGGGGCCUGGCCCAGAGACGCCAAGUCACCAAAUAGGGCAACUGAUCCACGUAGUUCAGAGCACUGAACCCCAGGGCUGAGAACAUUAACUCUGCUACGAUUUGCUCCACGGGGUGAGGCCAUUGGACCAGAAGGAACCGCUGGACAGGCGCAGGGCCAUCGCCAUCUCAGGGAGAGCUUUGCCCAGCCAGGCCUCCCAGCAGGAGCGAACCUCGGCAUGCCCUGAUGGAAGACAGGACAUUACAAAUGACUGAGAUUGAUUUCCGGACAGUUCAGUGGGGACUCAGCAUCAGACUGAAGUUCACGUAAACAAAAAGUCAAGAAGUGUGUUACUCCCAUCACAUCAGAUUCACAGCUGCACCCAGUGUCACAGCAUACAGAGGCUGUGGGCAUGGUGCAGGCACACUACAGCCUACGCGCGUGGGCAAAGCUUGGGCGAUCUCAGAUUUCAGGAAGCCUUCAGACAAUCCCUAGGAGUUCUGAAAUUACCUCAGAGACACAGAUGUGAGGUUGGGAUGGAGCUGCUUCAUGCGAGUUGGGUGACUUUGGAGGACAAACAGGAAGGAAAAACAGGAAUUGAAUCCCCUAGCACGCAGUCAUGUGUCUUUGUUUCUCAGAGCCUCGGUUAAAGCGAAGAGGUUCUCCUUCUUCCUCAUUAGCAAAUCCUAAAGCUGUUGCAUCACCUCAGGCAGGACCAAGCCAACAGACUGCAAAGCACAUUUCAGAAUUAGACUUAAACAUUGCAUGGUGCUUACUUACACAAGAAACCCUGAGUACAAAUAAAGAGAUAAACGAAAAGACGGUAGAGAGAUAUUUCUCAAAUGCCAAAGGGAUCAAGAGAUGAAGGAAGCAGAGGGAGAGAAGGGAAAGGCGAUGUGAAGGGAAUUCAGAUGUUACAUACAUGGACCAACUCUACGAAAGAAAUGAGGAAUGAAUGAAGAGGCAUUUCAUCUGGAGGAGCUCCAGCUCUGCAGAACCUGAAACCCAUGCAGUUUGCGAAGCUCUCCUGAUGAACAGUAAUGCAAAAUUAUAAACGGCGCCUGCCUGGGAGGAGGCCAAGUCAGGACUAAGCCUGGCUCCCCGGCUCCACCAGUGCAUCCAUCCCUCAUCCCAAAUUCUCUACUUCCUGUGAGCUUAAUUCUUGGUUUAAUUUUCUUCUCUAGCCUGUUCUCCUCUCCCUCCAUAUUACCUUAGAUAAUCCCCAAAGUUCAUCAAAUCGGUGUGUUUUUCGCCUGUACACAGCUAUGUAAGAUGCUAUGUCUUUUGUUUCCUUUUCCCACAAGUUGUUGAAGAUGAAACCACUGCUGUUUUCUCCAAAAGAGGUUCAAAUUUGACCUGAGACUAUGUAAAAGAAACCCUCUCAUCUUAAUUUCCCAGGCUACAUGGAAAAUGAAAUUGUUGUACUUAUUAAAAUAGCUUUUCUUCAAAUUCUUGUGACUUACUAAAAAUGACCAUUAGCAUUUUCAGUUGGUUCCAUUUUGGUUUUGGUCAGAGUUUCUUCUGAACUCAGUUUCACUAAGAACUUUGGUGACAUUUAUCCUUCACUUCCCCUUUUUUUUUUUUUUUUUCUGAUGCCUUCUGGACCAGCCUAAGGGAUGUGUCACUCUAGUUGGCAUAACAGCUUCUCUUUUUUGGAUAGGAUCAGUUGAGAGCCAGCACUUCAAUCAGUGGUAAUAACUCAAAGUCUUACUUUCCCAAGGACUCUAAAACUGACUCUCACUGGUAGUAGAUUAAAACCCUGUUGUGAGCACAACAUACAGAGGGCUCAGCUCGAAAGUCAGCAGUGGCUAAGGUCCUGCCCUCACCCCCCACAACCCUGCAGCCCAGAGGGAGGGAUACACAUGAGCCAUGUACUAUGUUCCUAUACUGUCUGAACCACUUCACAAACAUGAACUCACAAGUACAGGGCCGGGUGUGACAUAGAAUGACAGGUCACAAGCAGUAUCAUCUGAGGCCAUGUGAGCUGUGGCUGUUGGGGGAGCAGAGGGAAUCUGAACAGAGACUUUGGGAUCACCAUACUUUUUCAAAUUUUUUUAUACUGGGUACUGAACUUAAGGCCCGGAGAAUGCUAGGCAAGCACUCUAUCACUAAGCAUCACCGCUUUUUGUUGUGUGGUUUGAGCUGUCCAGGUUUGUCUCAAACUUGUGAUCCUCAUAGCUGAGCUUCCUGAGUAGCUAGGAUUACAGGCAUACAGCGUGCUGCCUGGCUGGUCAUAAUGCUUUAGACAGGCAGAGAUAUUCUGAGUCAUGGCACAUGGGUUUACUUCUUAUUAGUCCAGAGGGGUUCAUAACAUGGCACCCCAAUAUUACUGAAUGUGUCACGCUGAAAGAAUCUGAGAACAUGGCAGAAGCG